AGUGAGCCACUGCACCCGGCUCUUAACUGCCCUUUUGAGCUGGUUAUAACAUCACCUGGCUCCCUUAUGAGUUAAAUAAAAUGGUUAAUACCUAUUCAUUUUCUAUCUGUGUGGGAGUCAUGAUUUUACUUUUUUUGAAAAUGAAAAUGACCUUGGACCACUUCCUUCAUCAGGUGUUUGUGGCAGUUCCUUUAGGCCAGGGGAGGUGAUGGGGUCCCUUGCAGGGCAUCCCAUGAGGUAGAAUUAAGAACAGCCGGCCGGUGGCCUCUGCUCCCCAGAGCAGUCUCUGAAUGGGAAGGGAGGGGAGGGGAGGGGAGGAGGAAGACAAGAGGGAGGGUUUCUGCCCAGUGGAUGGAACAAGGUCUUAGCAAGACCUAGAUUCUUGGCCUGGGUGAAGUGGCUCAUGUCUGUAAUCCCAGCACUUUGGGAGCCGAGGCAGGAGGAUCACUUGAGCCCAGAAGUUCUAUUCCAGCCCAGGCAACAGAGUGAAACCCCAUCUCUACAAAAACAAAAACGAAAACAAAAACAGAAACAAAACAAAACAAAAAACUAGAUUCUCUGUCUGGUUAAGCUCCCAGCCAGUUAUUUGACCUUGAGACACAACCUCUGUAAGUUUUGAGGGUAAGGAAGGGUGUCAACAACUGAUGUUUGUUUCCUGAGCUCUUGUUUGUGUUGUUUGGGGUGAGGCUGGAGAGGUGGGAUGAUUGACUAUGCUGAACAGGAAGCUAGGUUUCAGCAGUUAGGCAGCCUGCCUGGGAUCAAGGCUCCUUGAUGACGAUCCUGACAGUAAUAACAACAGCAGCAGCUACCAUUUCGUGGGCACGCAUACGCCCACAUGUAUUAUCUCAUUUAGUCCCCACCACUGCCUGGAAGGAAGGAAUGAUCUAUGAUCCCAUCGUUCAGACCAGGAGACGAAGGCUCAAGGUCACACCACAUAGAUUCCGGCUCUAAAUUUAGCCAAGUCCUAAACCCUUUAUUCCACUGCCUUCGUCUCCUAGAUGUGACAGGGCCAUCCCUUGGCCAAUGAAUUACUUUUUUCCUCACCUGCAAAACAGAAUUAUUACCUUGAUCAUACACAUAAAGGAAUGCAAUGGCAGAUGACUAAAUGUCAUGUGGUUUCCUGGGAUGGAUUCUGGAAAGGAAGAAAGGACAUUAGUGGAAAAUCUGGUGAAAUCCCAAUAAAGUCUG
Molecule: long non-coding RNA, 1188 nt
Filed under: Macaca fascicularis (crab-eating macaque)
Lineage: Eukaryota; Metazoa; Chordata; Mammalia; Primates; Cercopithecidae
Description: lncRNA (ENSMFAG00000064645.1)
Source: RNAcentral